This 325-nucleotide ribosomal RNA is filed under the name uncultured eukaryote. Its description in RNAcentral is "partial 18S ribosomal RNA". It matches the Rfam family "Eukaryotic small subunit ribosomal RNA", at positions 1470 to 1796 of the family's 1831-position model. The record is from RNAcentral.
CCCUUAGAUGUUCUGGGCCGCACGCGCGCUACACUGAUGCAUUCAACAAGCCUAGCCUUGACCGAGAGGUCCGGGUAAUCUUUGAAACUGCAUCGUGAUGGGGCUAGAUUAUUGCAAUUAUUAAUCUUCAACGAGGAAUGCCUAGUAAGCGUGAUUCAUCAAAUCGCGUUGAUUACGUCCCUGCCCUUUGUACACACCGCCCGUCGCUCCUACCGAUUGAAUGUGUUGGUGAGGAGCUCGGAUUGGCAGCAGUUGGUGGUUCGCCACCGGCUAUUGCUGAGAAGUCCUCCAAACCGCCCAUUUAGAGGAAGGAGAAGUCGUAACA